Molecule: ribosomal RNA, 585 nt
Filed under: uncultured bacterium
Lineage: Bacteria
Description: partial 16S ribosomal RNA
Rfam family: Bacterial small subunit ribosomal RNA
Source: RNAcentral
UGGGGAAUUUUGGACAAUGGGCGAAAGCCUGAUCCAGCAAUGCCGCGUGUGUGAAGAAGGCCUUCGGGUUGUAAAGCACUUUUGUCCGGAAAGAAAUCCUUGGCUCUAAUACAGUCGGGGGAUGACGGUACCGGAAGAAUAAGCACCGGCUAACUACGUGCCAGCAGCCGCGGUAAUACGUAGGGUGCAAGCGUUAAUCGGAAUUACUGGGCGUAAAGCGUGCGCAGGCGGUUUGCUAAGACCGAUGUGAAAUCCCCGGGCUCAACCUGGGAACUGCAUUGGUGACUGGCAGGCUAGAGUAUGGCAGAGGGGGGUAGAAUUCCACGUGUAGCAGUGAAAUGCGUAGAGAUGUGGAGGAAUACCGAUGGCGAAGGCAGCCCCCUGGGCCAAUACUGACGCUCAUGCACGAAAGCGUGGGGAGCAAACAGGAUUAGAUACCCUGGUAGUCCACGCCCUAAACGAUGUCAACUAGUUGUUGGGGAUUCAUUUCCUUAGUAACGUAGCUAACGCGUGAAGUUGACGGCCUGGGGAGUACGGUCGCAAGAUUAAAACUCAAAUGAAUUGACGGGGUCAUAGCUGUUUCCU